Molecule: ribosomal RNA, 407 nt
Filed under: uncultured bacterium
Lineage: Bacteria
Also listed under: 2 other names
Description: bacterial SSU rRNA
Rfam family: Bacterial small subunit ribosomal RNA
Source: RNAcentral
UUAGGAAUCUUGCGCAAUGGGCGAAAGCCUGACGCAGCGACGCCGCGUGACUGAUGAAGUCCUUCGGGAUGUAAAAGUCUUUUGCCAGGGAAGAAGGAUGUGACGGUACCUGGCGAAUAAGCCCCGGCUAACUACGUGCCAGCAGCCGCGGUAAUACGUAGGGGGCGAGCGUUGUCCGAAGUCACUGGGCGUAAAGCGCGCGUAGGCGGUCUUUUAAGUUGGAUGUGAAAUCCUGCGGCCCAACCGCAGAACUGCAUCCAAAACUGGGAGACUUGAGGAUGGAAGAGGGCAGUGGAAUUCCUGGUGUAGCGGUGAAAUGCGUAGAUAUCAGGAGGAACACCCGUGGCGAAGGCGGCUGCCUGGUCCAUAUCUGACGCUGAGGUGCGAAAGCCAGGGGAGCGAACGGG